RNAcentral lists this ribosomal RNA (373 nucleotides) under uncultured bacterium. Its description in RNAcentral is "bacterial SSU rRNA". It matches the Rfam family "Bacterial small subunit ribosomal RNA", at positions 523 to 897 of the family's 1533-position model. The record is from RNAcentral.
AUACGUAGGGGGCAAGCGUUAUCCGGAAUUAUUGGGCGUAAAGAGUGCGUAGGUGGUUUUGUAAGCGCGGGGUGAAAGGCAAUAGCUCAACUAUUGUAAGCCCUGCGAACUGUGAGACUUGAGUGCAGGAGAGGAAAGCGGAAUUCCUAGUGUAGCGGUGAAAUGCGUAGAUAUUAGGAGGAACACCAGUGGCGAAGGCGGCUUUCUGGACUGUAACUGACACUGAGGCACGAAAGCGUGGGGAGCAAACAGGAUUAGAUACCCUGGUAGUCCACGCCGUAAACGAUGAGCACUAGGUGUCGGGGCCGCAAGGCUUCGGUGCCGCAGUUAACGCAUUAAGUGCUCCGCCUGGGGAGUACGCACGCAAGUGUGA